Molecule: ribosomal RNA, 253 nt
Filed under: uncultured bacterium
Lineage: Bacteria
Description: partial 16S ribosomal RNA
Rfam family: Bacterial small subunit ribosomal RNA
Source: RNAcentral
UACGUAGGUGGCAAGCGUUGUCCGGAUUUACUGGGCGUAAAGGGCGCGUAGGCGGCCUGCUAAGUCGAACGUGAAAUCCCUGGGCUCAACCCAGGAACUGCGUCCGAUACUGGUUGGCUUGAAUCCGGGAGAGGGACGUGGAAUUCCAGGUGUAGCGGUGAAAUGCGUAGAUAUCUGGAGGAACACCGGUGGCGAAGGCGACGUCCUGGACCGGCAUUGACGCUGAGGCGCGAAAGCCAGGGGAGCAAACGGG